CGCAUCUGUGCAUGCAGCAUAUCAAUAAGCGGAGGAAAAGUACCUACGCUUAGGAUGUUGACACACGCGCGUGCUCGACUCUAUACAUGACUCUGUGCAUAUCAAUAAGCGGAGGAAAAGAAACUAACAAGGAUUCCCUUAGUAACGGCGAGUGAAGCGGGAAGAGCUCAAAUUUGAAAUCUUCAAGGUUUUACCUUGACGAAUUGUAGUUUAAAGAAGUGUUUUCUGUUGAAGUUUUGGUAAAAGUUCUUUGGAAUAGGACAUCAUAGAGGGUGAGAAUCCCGUAUUUGACCAUUAUUUUCAGCUGUGUGAUACACUUUCAAAGAGUCGGAUUGUUUGGGAAUGCAGUCCAAAAUGGGUGGUAAAUUUCAUCUAAAGCUAAAUAUUGGCGAGAGACCGAUAGCGAACAAGUACCGUGAGGGAAAGAUGAAAAGAACCUUUGAAAAGAGAGUUAAACAGUACGUGAAAUUGUCAAAAGGGAAGCGUUUAACACCAGUGUUGUUUUCUCGAAAAUCAAUUAAAAAGAGUUAGAUUUUGUUGUGUAUUGACCUUAACAGCUUGCAUUUCAAUUUUUUCUUGCUUUUUUUAAUGCACUUUUCGUUUAACAAGUCAACAUCAGUUUCUCUUGUUGUAAAAAGGUCAUUGGAAGGUGGCUUUCUUUUCGGAGAAAGUGUUUAUAGCCUUUGGCUCCUGCAAUCGGAGAGACUGAGGUCUGCAGCGUAGAUCCUUCGGGGUUAGAUACAUUUGUGCUAAGUUAUAGCUUUUUAUAGACAACUUGUUGACUAUGAUUAGUCUUGUAGCUCACUCGCUUAUGCUAUUUUACCUACGCUUAGGAUGUUGACACACGCGCGUGCUCG
Molecule: ribosomal RNA, 857 nt
Filed under: uncultured Neocallimastigales
Lineage: Eukaryota; Fungi; Neocallimastigomycota; Neocallimastigomycetes; Neocallimastigales
Description: partial large subunit ribosomal RNA
Rfam family: Eukaryotic large subunit ribosomal RNA
Source: RNAcentral